CCAAUCGAACUUGGAGCUAGCUGGUUCUCCUCGAAAUGCGUUGAGGCGCAGCGGUUAUUUAUGAACUCUCAGGGGGUAAAGCUCUGUUUCGGUGCGGGCUGCGAAAGCGGUACCAAUCUGUUGCAAACUCGGAAUACCUGAGAUGAUUUCAAAUAGCCAGUGAGACUAUGGGGGACAAGCUUCAUAGUCAAAAGGGAAACAGCCCAGACCAUCAGCUAAGGCUCCUAAAUAAAAGCUAAGUGGUAAAGGAGGUGAAAAUGCUGUGACAAUCAGGAGGUUUGCCUAGAAGCAGCCACCCUUUAAAGAGUGCGUAAUAGCUCACUGAUCAAGCGUUUUUGCGCCGAAAAUUUCCGGAACUAAGUUUUUUGCCGAAGCUAUGGAUAUAUUAUCUACAUAAUAUGUGGUAGAGGAGCGUUCCGCCCAGGGGGAAGCCAAGCGCGUAAGCCGCGGUGGACAGGGCGGAAGUGAGAAUGUCAGCUUGAGUAACGUAAACAUUGGUGAGAAUCCAAUGCCCCGAAAACUCAAGGGUUCCUGCGCAAGGCUCGUCCGCGCAGGGUCAGUCAGGACCUAAGGUGAGGCCGAAAGGCGUAAUUGAUGGCAAGAAGGUUUAUAUUCCUUCACUAAUCUAGGCUUAGUCCUGAGGGACGAACAAAUAACACUCGGCACAACGGCCACACUUGGCAGUAUGGAUAAACCCGUUGCUGUUUGAUGCUAUUUAUUCCAAGAAAAGCUCAUUCGACUUUGAGUCUAGAUUACCUGUACCGUAAACCGACACAGGUGAGUGGGUUGAAUAAACUAAGGGGAGCGAGAUAACUCUCUCUAAGGAACUCGGCAAAUUGGCUCUGUACCUUCGGAAGAAAGAGUGCCCCUCAGGGGGCCGCAGUGAAGAGAUCCAGGCGACUGUUUACCAAAAACACAGGUCUCCGCAAAGUCGUAAGACGAUGUAUGGGGGCUGACACCUGCCCAGUGCCAGAAGGUUAAAGAAGUUGGUCAGUCUUUGACGAAGCUAACGACUGAAGCCCUGGUGAACGGCGGCAGUAACUAUAACUGUCCUAAGGUAGCGAAAUUCCUUGUCGGGUAAGUUCCGACCCGCACGAAAGGUGUAACGAUCUGGAUACUGUCUCAGAGAGAGGCUCGGUGAAAUAAAAAUAUCUGUGAAGAUGCGGAUUACCUGCACGCGGACAGAAAGACCCUAUGAAGCUUUACUGUAACCUGGAAUUGCUCUCAAGCUUAUUUUGCGCAGCUUAGGUGGGAGGCUAUGAACCUUUUCUUCUGGGAAGAGGGGAGCCAUCAGUGAGAUACCACUCUUGGUAAGCUAGAAAGCUCAGUCUUAACCGUUAUCCGGUAAGACGACAGUUUCAGGCGGGCAGUUUGACUGGGGCAGUCACCUCCCAAAAGGUAAUGGAGGUGCACAAAGGUUCCCUCAGGUUGGACGGAAAUCAACCAUAGAGUGUAAAAGCAUAAGGGAGCUUGACUGCGAGACUGACAUGUCAAGCAGAGACGAAAGUCGGUUUUAGUGAUCCGACGGUGCUGCGUGGAAAGGCCGUCGCUCAACGGAUAAAAGUUACUCUAGGGAUAACAGGCUAAUCUCCCCCAAGAGUUCACAUCGACGGGGAGGUUUGGCACCUCGAUGUCGGCUCAUCGCAUCCUGGAGCGGAAGUACGUUCCAAGGGUUGGGCUGUUCGCCCAUAGAAAGCGGUACGCGAGCUGGGUUCAGAACGUCGUGAGACAGUUUGGUCCAUAUCCUGUGUAGGCGUUUAGAGCAUUGAAAGGAUCUCCCCUUUGUACGAGAGGACCAGGUGGGGACAGACCGCUAGUGUACCAGUUAUCCCGCCAGGGGUAAACGCUGGGUAGCUAUGUCUGGAGUAAAUAACUGCUGAAAGCAUAUAAGUAGGAAGUUCACCUUAAGAUGAGUGCUCUUUUGUCUCAACCGUUCAGUUUUACUGGCAAAUGAAAGACAAGGAAGGUCACGGCAAGACGAGCCGUUUGAUAGGCAUGAAGUAGAAGUGCAGUAAUGCAUUCUGAAGCUGACAUGUGCUAAUAGACCGAGGGAUUUGAUUUU
RNAcentral lists this ribosomal RNA (2062 nucleotides) under marine metagenome. RNAcentral's name for it is "bacterial LSU rRNA". It matches the Rfam family "Bacterial large subunit ribosomal RNA", at positions 829 to 2925 of the family's 2925-position model. The record is from RNAcentral.